RNAcentral lists this long non-coding RNA (334 nucleotides) under Mus musculus (house mouse). RNAcentral describes it as "long non-coding RNA chrX:157663597-157663931". The record is from RNAcentral. Lineage: Eukaryota; Metazoa; Chordata; Mammalia; Rodentia; Muridae.
GUGGUAGCUGUUGGACUGACCACUGAUGCUGCAGGAUUUUGCAGGCCAUUAUAUUUCACAAGCCAUGAAACAUGUGAAAUAAGUUAAACAGUUUUCCAAAAUCUACCAACAUCUGCCUUCAGGGGUGGGAAGUACAGAGCUGGUUUUGAACCCACAAUGCCAGAGCAGAAUGUAGCAUUCAUGCUUGGUGGGAUCCCUACUUCCAAGAAAGGGAAGAUUAGAUGUGAUCGUGGAUGAAUUAUGUACCGAAAUCAUCCAGACAAUGGAGGAUCUCCUUAUAUAGCAGCCAGCAUCAAUGUAGUUAAAGACCCACUACAAGGUCAAGCUAAAAUGA